GGGCGUUAAGUUGCAGGGUAUAGACCCGAAACCCGGUGAUCUAGCCAUGGGCAGGUUGAAGGUUGGGUAACACUAACUGGAGGACCGAACCGACUAAUGUUGAAAAAUUAGCGGAUGACUUGUGGCUGGGGGUGAAAGGCCAAUCAAACCGGGAGAUAGCUGGUUCUCCCCGAAAGCUAUUUAGGUAGCGCCUCGUGAAUUCAUCUCCGGGGGUAGAGCACUGUUUCGGCAAGGGGGUCAUCCCGACUUACCAACCCGAUGCAAACUGCGAAUACCGGAGAAUGUUAUCACGGGAGACACACGGCGGGUGCUAACGUCCGUCGUGAAGAGGGAAACAACCCAGACCGCCAGCUAAGGUCCCAAAGUCAUGGUUAAGUGGGAAACGAUGUGGGAAGGCCCAGACAGCCAGGAUGUUGGCUUAGAAGCAGCCAUCAUUUAAAGAAAGCGUAAUAGCUCACUGGUCGAGUCGGCCUGCGCGGAAGAUGUAACGGGGCUAAACCAUGCACCGAAGCUGCGGCAGCGACACUGUGUGUUGUUGGGUAGGGGAGCGUUCUGUAAGCCUGUGAAGGUGUGCUGUGAGGUAUGCUGGAGGUAUCAGAAGUGCGAAUGCUGACAUAAGUAACGAUAAAGCGGGUGAAAAGCCCGCUCGCCGGAAGACCAAGGGUUCCUGUCCAACGUUAAUCGGGGCAGGGUGAGUCGACCCCUAAGG
Molecule: ribosomal RNA, 709 nt
Filed under: Escherichia coli
Lineage: Bacteria; Pseudomonadati; Pseudomonadota; Gammaproteobacteria; Enterobacterales; Enterobacteriaceae
Description: partial 23S ribosomal RNA
Rfam family: Bacterial large subunit ribosomal RNA
Source: RNAcentral